This 274-nucleotide ribosomal RNA is filed under the name uncultured bacterium. RNAcentral's name for it is "partial 16S ribosomal RNA". It matches the Rfam family "Bacterial small subunit ribosomal RNA", at positions 523 to 796 of the family's 1533-position model. The record is from RNAcentral.
AUACGGAGGGUGCUAACGUUGUUCGGAAUUACUGGGCGUAAAGCGCGUGUAGGCGGCUUAGCAAGUCAGAUGUGAAAGCCCUCGGCUCAACCGAGGAAGUGCAUUUGAAACUGCUAGGAUAGAGUACGGGAGAGGGUUGUAGAAUUCCAGGUGUAGAGGUGAAAUUCGUAGAUAUCUGGAGGAAUACCGGUGGCGAAGGCGGCAACCUGGACCGAUACUGACGCUGAGACGCGAAAGCGUGGGGAGCAAACAGGAUUAGAAACCCUGGUAGUCC